UAGGGAAUCUUCGGCAAUGGACGAAAGUCUGACCGAGCAACGCCGCGUGAGUGAAGAAGGUUUUCGGAUCGUAAAACUCUGUUGUUAGAGAAGAACAAGGACGUUAGUAACUGAACGUCCCCUGACGGUAUCUAACCAGAAAGCCACGGCUAACUACGUGCCAGCAGCCGCGGUAAUACGUAGGUGGCAAGCGUUGUCCGGAUUUAUUGGGCGUAAAGCGAGCGCAGGCGGUUUCUUAAGUCUGAUGUGAAAGCCCCCGGCUCAACCGGGGAGGGUCGUUGGAAACUGGGAGACUUGAGUGCAGAAGAGGAGAGUGGAAUUCCAUGUGUAGCGGUGAAAUGCGUAGAUAUAUGGAGGAAAACCAGUGGCGAAGGCGGCUCUCUGGUCUGUAACUGACGCUGAGGCUCGAAAGCGUGGGGAGCAAACAGG
Molecule: ribosomal RNA, 429 nt
Filed under: Gemmatimonadota bacterium
Lineage: Bacteria; Pseudomonadati; Gemmatimonadota
Description: Gemmatimonadetes bacterium partial 16S ribosomal RNA
Rfam family: Bacterial small subunit ribosomal RNA
Source: RNAcentral